Molecule: non-coding RNA, 72 nt
Organism: Phrynosoma platyrhinos (Desert horned lizard)
Lineage: Eukaryota; Metazoa; Chordata; Lepidosauria; Squamata; Phrynosomatidae
Source: the annotation of a GenBank genome assembly
GCCAGUAUGGUGUAGUGGUCUGGGUGUUGGACUAGGACUCUGGAUAUCAGGGUUCGAUUCCUUGUUCUGCCA